This 21-nucleotide microRNA is filed under the name Ananas comosus (pineapple). RNAcentral's name for it is "microRNA s0702_c92a". Lineage: Eukaryota; Viridiplantae; Streptophyta; Magnoliopsida; Poales; Bromeliaceae. The record is from RNAcentral.
AACAAUCCCUGCCGAAGUCCU